This 379-nucleotide long non-coding RNA is filed under the name Brassica napus (rape). Its description in RNAcentral is "long non-coding RNA (BNAP_LNC012446)". Lineage: Eukaryota; Viridiplantae; Streptophyta; Magnoliopsida; Brassicales; Brassicaceae. The record is from RNAcentral.
UGUGAUAUAACAAACUAAGUCCCACAUUGGAGAAUUAGACAAGAAGUGUCUAAUAUAUAAAGAGAUGUCCAACUCUAAUAGUACGAGGCCUUUUGGGAUGGAAACCAAAAGUAAAUCCAUGCGGGCUUGCCAAUUAGGCCCAAAGUGGACAAUAUCGUACUAAUCGGAUAAUAUAGAAUUGGACACGGGAUUUCACAAUCCCAACAAUUGGUAUCAGAGCCGGUUGACGAGAAAUCUGCAAGAAAGACCGAAAUACCCUUUGAGUGAUGAAUGGGUAUCCUAUGAGUUAGGAAUGAGAGGUGUGUGGCAGAAAUCAAGUCAGAAGAUUCUGGAAGUCAGUUGUGGGACACGAGAUGAAUGUGAUCCUUAGUUUGAAGGG